AUGCCAUAGUGUGGGCAUUUCCUUAACAGCUCUUUAAACCUCUCUCUUGCAUUAGGAACAAUUUCAUCGUCCAUUUGUUUAAAAAGACAUAUUUCAUUUAUGGACUU
Molecule: small nucleolar RNA, 107 nt
Organism: Cynara cardunculus var. scolymus (artichoke)
Lineage: Eukaryota; Viridiplantae; Streptophyta; Magnoliopsida; Asterales; Asteraceae
Source: RefSeq, a predicted model, not a curated record